UAGGAAAUGGUGUAGAGGGAGCACUGGAGUUUUUGAUGCUCUGGGGAUGGGUUCAAUUCCCAUUUUCCUAA
This 71-nucleotide transfer RNA is filed under the name Moringua javanica (Java spaghetti eel). RNAcentral's name for it is "tRNA-Gln". It matches the Rfam family "tRNA". Rfam says of the family: Transfer RNA (tRNA) molecules are approximately 80 nucleotides in length. Their secondary structure includes four short double-helical elements and three loops (D, anti-codon, and T loops). Further hydrogen bonds mediate the characteristic L-shaped molecular structure. tRNAs have two regions of fundamental functional importance: the anti-codon, which is responsible for specific mRNA codon recognition, and the 3' end, to which the tRNAs corresponding amino acid is attached (by aminoacyl-tRNA synthetases). tRNAs cope with the degeneracy of the genetic code in two manners: having more than one tRNA (with a specific anti-codon) for a particular amino acid; and 'wobble' base-pairing, i.e. permitting non-standard base-pairing at the 3rd anti-codon position. The record is from RNAcentral. Lineage: Eukaryota; Metazoa; Chordata; Actinopteri; Anguilliformes; Moringuidae.